Molecule: ribosomal RNA, 484 nt
Filed under: Burkholderia sp. M72copaA
Lineage: Bacteria; Pseudomonadati; Pseudomonadota; Betaproteobacteria; Burkholderiales; Burkholderiaceae
Description: bacterial SSU rRNA
Rfam family: Bacterial small subunit ribosomal RNA
Source: RNAcentral
ACAUCGGAACGUGUCCUGUAGUGGGGGAUAGCCCGGCGAAAGCCGGAUUAAUACCGCAUACGCUCUACGGAGGAAAGGGGGGGAUCUUAGGACCUCCCGCUACAGGGGCGGCCGAUGGCAGAUUAGCUAGUUGGUGGGGUAAAGGCCUACCAAGGCGACGAUCUGUAGCUGGUCUGAGAGGACGACCAGCCACACUGGGACUGAGACACGGCCCAGACUCCUACGGGAGGCAGCAGUGGGGAAUUUUGGACAAUGGGGGAAACCCUGAUCCAGCAAUGCCGCGUGUGUGAAGAAGGCCUUCGGGUUGUAAAGCACUUUUGUCCGGAAAGAAAACUUCGGGGUUAAUACCUCUGGAGGAUGACGGUACCGGAAGAAUAAGCACCGGCUAACUACGUGCCAGCAGCCGCGGUAAUACGUAGGGUGCAAGCGUUAAUCGGAAUUACUGGGCGUAAAGCGUGCGCAGGCGGUUCGUUAAGACAGAUGU